ACCGCACGGGGAGCUGAUGUUAUCGGCUGAGAUUCGCGCUAACGAGUGCGUGACCCAUGAACCUGAUCCGGAUAAUGCCGGCGUAGGAAUCGCGAAAA
RNAcentral lists this non-coding RNA (98 nucleotides) under bovine gut metagenome. RNAcentral's name for it is "TPP riboswitch (THI element)". It matches the Rfam family "TPP riboswitch aptamer (THI element)", at positions 7 to 92 of the family's 105-position model. Rfam says of the family: Vitamin B(1) in its active form thiamin pyrophosphate (TPP) is an essential coenzyme that is synthesised by coupling of pyrimidine and thiazole moieties in bacteria. The previously detected thiamin-regulatory element, thi box was extended, resulting in a new, highly conserved RNA secondary structure, the THI element, which is widely distributed in eubacteria and also occurs in some archaea. The record is from RNAcentral.